Molecule: ribosomal RNA, 468 nt
Filed under: Triticum aestivum (bread wheat)
Lineage: Eukaryota; Viridiplantae; Streptophyta; Magnoliopsida; Poales; Poaceae
Description: partial small subunit ribosomal RNA
Source: RNAcentral
AUGGAUCCAGCAGAAGUGUUGACUGUCAGAUUCCACUUUGGGGGAGAGUUCAUACGGAUUGCUCCAUCGCUUGAUUAUGUGGGUGGAGAUAUUGGAAUGUCAGAUAUUGAGCGGGACAAGCUCUCUCUGCCAGAGCUGAAAGGCUUUUUAGGAGAUCAUAUGACAGUGAAGGAAAGCAUGAAGUUCCAUUUUUUGUUGCCUGGCAGGGAGUUGAUAAGCAGGGCUGCAGCAGCUAGAGCUUCAGCUGUACCAAGCUCUCAAGCUGCUGGAUCAAGCUUUCAAGCUGCAGGAUCAAGCUCUCAAGCUGCUGCAUCUACCUUCAGACCACCCAGAGUGACUAGAAGUUCAUCCGCUUCUGCUGGAGGGAGUGGGAAAGGAGUUGGAAGAGGGACAGGAUCUGGAAGAGGGAGAGGAGCUAGAGAAGGGACAGGAUUCAUGCCAUAUUUCACUGCUAGUGGGAAUUACUAG